AGAAUCAACGCUGGCGGCGUGCCUAACACAUGCAAGUCGCACGAGAAAGUGGAGCAAUCCAUGAGUAAAGUGGCGCACGGGUGAGUAACACGUGAAUUAUCUACCUCCGAGUGGGGAAUAACUGAGAGAAAUCUUAGCUAAUACCGCAUAACACUUACGAGUCAAAGCAGCAAUGCGCUUGGAGAGGAGUUCGCGGCCGAUUAGUAGUUGCGGGGUAAUGGCCCACCAAGACGAUGAUCGGUA
This 243-nucleotide ribosomal RNA is filed under the name uncultured bacterium. RNAcentral describes it as "partial small subunit ribosomal RNA". It matches the Rfam family "Bacterial small subunit ribosomal RNA", at positions 26 to 285 of the family's 1533-position model. The record is from RNAcentral.